This 448-nucleotide ribosomal RNA is filed under the name uncultured Planctomycetota bacterium. Its description in RNAcentral is "bacterial SSU rRNA". It matches the Rfam family "Bacterial small subunit ribosomal RNA", at positions 217 to 656 of the family's 1533-position model. The record is from RNAcentral. Lineage: Bacteria; Pseudomonadati; Planctomycetota.
GCUUAGAGAGGGGUCAAUGUCCUAUCAGCUAGUUGGUAGGGUAAUGGCCUACCAAGGCUAAGACGGGUAGCCGGCCUGAGAGGGUGGUCGGCCACACUGGGACUGAGACACUGCCCAGACUCCUACGGGAGGCUGCAGUCGAGAAUCUUUCGCAAUGCCCGAAAGGGUGACGAAGCGACGCCGCGUGUGGGAAGAAGGCCUUCGGGUUGUAAACCACUGUCGGGAGUUAAGAAAUGCAAGGGUGUUAAUAGCACCCUUGCUUGACUAAGGCUCCGGAGGAAGCCACGGCUAACUCUGUGCCAGCAGCCGCGGUAAUACAGAGGCGGCAAGCGUUGUUCGGAAUUAUUGGGCGUAAAGAGCACGUAGGCGGCUUUGUAAGUCAGUUGUGAAAGCCUUCUGCUCAACGGAAGAACAGCAUCUGAUACUGCAAGGCUAGAGUGCGGAAGGG